GCAAACUUGGUCAUUUAGAGGAAGUAAAAGUCGUAACAAGGUUUCCGUAGGUGAACCUGCGGAAGGAUCAUUAAAAAUUUUUGAACCAAUUUUAUGGAUCAAAAAAUCCAUAAUCCACCUUUUGUGCUUCAAUUGACUUUUGGGAGAUUUUUGGUCAUCUCCCAGAGGGCUCUUCUAUAUACAAAUUUUUGACUUAAAAUUUUUAUAUGUAAAAUAUAAUAAACAACUUUCAACAACGGAUCUCUUGGCUCUCGCAUCGAUGAAGAACGCAGC
Molecule: unclassified non-coding RNA, 273 nt
Filed under: uncultured fungus
Lineage: Eukaryota; Fungi
Description: partial contains small subunit ribosomal RNA, internal transcribed spacer 1, and 5.8S ribosomal RNA
Rfam family: Eukaryotic small subunit ribosomal RNA (bases 1-73)
Source: RNAcentral